Molecule: long non-coding RNA, 1350 nt
Organism: Anopheles merus
Lineage: Eukaryota; Metazoa; Arthropoda; Insecta; Diptera; Culicidae
Exons: 3
Source: RefSeq, a predicted model, not a curated record
GUAGCCAUGUUUAGCUGACUUAUUUAGAAGGAAUGUUUGUGAAAAGGGAGUCAAUAAGUAGUGAGAAAUUAUGAUCAACUAUAGAAAACAGGCACAAAUGAAGGACACAGAACUAGCUUAACUGUUUGUUUGAAAUGUUUGUCUCAAAAAUAACGAACUGAAAGCUAUGAAGAGCUAUGUAAGCAUGACUCAGGAAGAGACGGCUCAGUGAAAGCAAGAAAAACAAGAACGAACAUUUAACGAUGAAAUUUGGACCAAUUUUAAUGCAGUUGUAAACAUUGUUCACAGUCAACAACCGAAGCAUGGUCACUAUAAAUGAGUAAUGAGGAAUAGUAUACAUGUAUAUCAGACUACUGCUAGAAACAAUGAGGUGGUACUCGAAGUUAAAGUUGGAUGAAGAAAUUGGUUUGGUCCCAAAAAGGAAAGGAAAAUAAGGAUAUUCCUUACCAACGAAUGUGUUGCAGCCAGAUAGAUAAUUUGCUUUACUAUAGCAGUAACUACAAUGUUUGUGAAAUUACCCAGGACGAAAAAGUUCACGUUGAAUUUGAUAGCAAUAUCCAGAAUAUGGUAGUCAGCAAUAAAACGAAUCCAGCGAUCCUCUGAUUUUUCUACACUCCUCCGCAUGUCUGAGCAAGGCGAUCGCCUCGCCACCAAAACCGUGUACCCAAGCGAGCCAAUCUCUGUUUCAAGCUAAGCUUGUUUUCAAUCCACUUCACUAUAGCCCAGUACACUUCUCAUAAAAUAUUUCUUCGAGAUAGUCCUCCGUCUUGAGGCAGAGACAACCCCGGCGGUUCCGGUUCCCAAGGAAAAGUGGAAGAGAAGCCGCAAGCGUCGAAAGAUGACAAAUAUACGAAGAACUUAAUCCAUCACAGCCUGCGUCCACGAGAGCGGGUAUCUGUUUAUGGGGCGUGAUAGGAAAGUACCCUCUUCAUUGGUAACGGGAAUGGGAUCGAACUCAAAGCCCAGAUUUACGACGUUAUUUCCUUCGGUGAUCUAAAAAUUAUAUCCACAAGGGAUUUUUCUGCCGCGCGGCUAAGCCUAAAGCCGGUAUGAGGAUGUGUUUCAACGGGCACAAAUGGGCCAAGGACUAGCUUUUGGGAGCCCGCUAGCGCCGCCUUCGGUUAUACAUUGUAAAAGGGAAAACACACACAUACACAUGCAUACAUACUUUAAAAAAGAGCACCAUGUCUCCCUCCCUUGCGGUUCGAUAUGCAACAUUAAAUGUCUUAUUAACUACGACGCUGGAGUGUGGAGUGAAUAUGUGAUGGAGACGCCCGGUACUUUGUGCAUGCUCUACCGAAGGCGAUGUGUGUGAUGGAAUCAAAGAUUAUGAACACCAUUUGAAAAUGC